GCAUUGAGAGUUUGGAUAGUAGUAAGUUGUGAA
This 33-nucleotide unclassified non-coding RNA is filed under the name Trypanosoma cruzi. RNAcentral's name for it is "guide RNA". Lineage: Eukaryota; Euglenozoa; Kinetoplastea; Trypanosomatida; Trypanosomatidae. The record is from RNAcentral.